RNAcentral lists this ribosomal RNA (253 nucleotides) under uncultured bacterium. Its description in RNAcentral is "partial 16S ribosomal RNA". It matches the Rfam family "Bacterial small subunit ribosomal RNA", at positions 524 to 776 of the family's 1533-position model. The record is from RNAcentral.
UACGUAGGGUGCGAGGGUUGUCCGGAAUUAUUGGGCGUAAAGAGCUCGUAGGCGGUUUGUCGCGUCGGCCGUGAAAUCUCCACGCUUAACGUGGAGCGUGCGGUCGAUACGGGCAGACUUGAGUUCGGUAGGGGAGACUGGAAUUCCUGGUGUAGCGGUGAAAUGCGCAGAUAUCAGGAGGAACACCGGUGGCGAAGGCGGGUCUCUGGGCCGAUACUGACGCUGAGGAGCGAAAGCGUGGGGAGCGAACAGG